AUUGAACGCUGGCGGCAGGCCUAACACAUGCAAGUCGAACGAGUGGCGGACGGGUGAGUAAUGUCUGGGAAUCUGCCUGAUGGAGGGGGAUAACUACUGGAAACGGUAGCUAAUACCGCAUACCAUCGGAUGUGCCCAGAUGGGAUUAGCUUGUAGGUGGGGUAAAGGCUCACCUAGGCCACGAUGCCUAGCUGGCCUGAGAGGAUGACCGGCCACACUGGAACUGAGACACGGCCCAGACUCCUACGGGAGGCAGCAGUGGGGAAUAUUGCACAAUGGGCGAAAGCCUGACGCAGCAAUGCCGCGUGUAUGAAGAAGGCUUUCGGGUCGUAAAGCACUGUCAUCGGGGAGGCGUUAUCCGCCCAAGAAGCAACGGCUAACUCCGUGCCAGCAGCCGCGGUAAUUC
Molecule: ribosomal RNA, 406 nt
Filed under: uncultured bacterium
Lineage: Bacteria
Description: partial 16S ribosomal RNA
Rfam family: Bacterial small subunit ribosomal RNA
Source: RNAcentral